ACUACCUAUGGAGAGGGAUAUCCGGGAAACUGGGGCUAAUACUCAUAGACUAUGAAUGCUGGAAUGCAUCGUAGUUCAAAGGUCCGCCGCCAUAGGAUGGGUCUGCGGCCGAUUAGGUAGUUGUUGGGGUAACGGCCCAACAAGCCUGUAAUCGGUACGGGUUGUGGGAGCAAGAGCCCGGAGAUGGAUUCUGAGACACGAAUCCAGGCCCUACGGGGCGCAGCAGGCGCGAAAACUUUACAAUGCGGGAAACCGUGAUAAGGGAACUCCGAGUGCCCGUUAAAUCGGGCUGUCCAUCAGUUUAAAAAACUGGUGAAGAAAGGGCCGGGCAAGACCGGUGCCAGCCGCCGCGGUAAUACCGGCGGCUCGAGUGGUGGCCACUAUUACUGGGCUUAAAGCGUUCGUAGCUGGUUUGUUAAGUCUCUGGGGAAAUCUUCCGGCUUAACCGGAAGGCGUAUCAGGGAUACUGGCAGACUAGGGACCGGAAGAGGUGAGGGGUACUCCAGGGGUAGGAGUGAAAUCCUGUAAUCCUUGGGGGACCACCUGUGGCGAAGGCGCCUCACCAGGACGGCUCCGACAGUGAGGGACGAAAGCUGGGGGAGCAAACCGGAUUAGAUACCCGGGUAGUCCCAGCCGUAAACGAUGUGCGUUAGGUGUAUCGGUGACCACGAGUCACCGAGGUGCCGAAGAGAAAUCGUGAAACGUACCGCCUGGGAAGUACGGUCGCAAGGCUGAAACUUAAAGGAAUUGGCGGGGGAGCACCACAACAGGUGGAGCCUGCGGUUUAAUCGGACUCAACGCCGGAAAACUCACCAGAUAAGACAGCUGAAUGAUAGUCGGGCUGAAGACUCUGCUUGACUAGCUGAGAGGAGGUGCAUGGCCGUCGUCAGUUCGUACUGUGAAGCAUCCUGUUAAGUCAGGCAACGAGCGAGACCCACGCCAACAGUUGCUAGCUCGUCCCCCGGGAUGGAGAGGACACUGUUGGGACCGCCUCUGCUAAAGAGGAGGAAGGAAUGGGCAACGGUAGGUCAGCAUGCCCCGAAUUAUCUGGGCUACACGCGGGCUACAAUGGGUGGGACAAUGGGUAUCGACACCGAAAGGUGAAGGCAAUCUCCUAAACCCAUCCUUAGUUCGGAUUGUGGGCUGCAACUCGCCCACAUGAAGCUGGAAUCU
This 1173-nucleotide ribosomal RNA is filed under the name uncultured euryarchaeote. RNAcentral's name for it is "bacterial SSU rRNA". It matches the Rfam family "Archaeal small subunit ribosomal RNA", at positions 107 to 1290 of the family's 1478-position model. The record is from RNAcentral. Lineage: Archaea; Methanobacteriati; Methanobacteriota.